RNAcentral lists this ribosomal RNA (783 nucleotides) under Triticum aestivum (bread wheat). RNAcentral's name for it is "partial small subunit ribosomal RNA". The record is from RNAcentral. Lineage: Eukaryota; Viridiplantae; Streptophyta; Magnoliopsida; Poales; Poaceae.
AUGGGCCUCGAUGUCGCGGAAAUCUCUGAAUUGGCGGCGCUCCGGCCGAUCCAGACGGCCGUGAGCGGCGCCCGGGCCACGUCAGUACCGGGGGAGGACGACGGCACUGCCGUUGCCGACACCGGCUGCGUCACGCCGACGGCGAGCGGCGCGCAAUCGGCCAUGGCAGGGGGAGUCGACGACGACGACGCAGCCGCCGACACUGGCUGCGUCACGCCGAGGUCGAGCGGCUUCAUGGCCAUGCUGCCAAUUGCGCCAGUGCAGCAAGACGACGGCGCCGAAGUCGGCUUCGCCACACCGCUGGCCACGGGUGGAGUAAUUGAGCAGCGAGACGGCUGCGCCGCUGCGGGCGACGAGAACAGCUUCACCACGCCGACCACGGCCGACAGCGCGCUGUUGCCGGCGACGGUGUGCCCUCCGGCGCCGCGGAAGUCGGCGCCGGUCCCGACGAGGAAGCGGGCGCCGCUGCAGCAGCGGCUCUUCUUCUACCCGGUGCCGCACGACCUGACCACCGUCUUCGUCGCCGUGCCGCAGUGCGCGCCACCCGCCAAGAAGAUGCGGGCGCACGUGGUGGAGUCAUCUGUGCCUCUAGGCACCACUUCACACGCUGACACGCAUGCUGCUGCUGCGCGCCAUUGUCGCGACCGCGAGUGGACGAAGGAGCUCUUCAGAGAAGCGGAAGCGAGCAAGUCCAUACACGAGCAAGGGCUCUCGAGCUCGAGCGGACGAGCGCACAGACAAGAUGUUGUAGUUGAAUCACUCAACUCCCUUCGGCUCCUCUGA